GACGAACGCUGGCGGCGGGCUUAACACAUGCAAGUCGAACGGAAAGGUCCUGCUUUUGGGGGGUGCUCGAGUGGCGAACGGGUGAGUAACACGUUAGUAACCUGCCCUUGACUUUGGGAUAACUUCAGGAAACUGGGGCUAAUACCGGAUAGGAGCUCCUGCUGCAUGGUGGGGGUUGGAAAGAUUCGGCGGUUGGGGAUGGACUCGCGGCUUAUCAGCUUGUUGGGUGGGUAGUGGCUUACCAAGGCCUUGACAGGUAGCCUGGCUGAGAGGGUGACCGGCCACAUUGGGACUGAACUGCGGCACAGACUCCUACGGGAGGCAGCAGUGGGGAAUAGUGCACAAUGGGCGGAAGCCUGGUGCAGCAACGCCGCGUGCGGGAUGACGGCCUUCGGGUUGUAAACCGCUUUCGCCUGUGACGAGGCGUGAGUGACGGUAAUGGGUAAAGAAGCACCGGCUAACUACGUG
Molecule: ribosomal RNA, 468 nt
Filed under: uncultured bacterium
Lineage: Bacteria
Description: partial 16S ribosomal RNA
Rfam family: Bacterial small subunit ribosomal RNA
Source: RNAcentral